UACGUAGGGGGCGAGCGUUGUCCGGAGUUACUGGGCGUAAAGGGCAUGCAGGCGGUCGGACGCGUUUCGGGUGACAGCGGGUGGCUUAACUACCCGAGUGGUCGAAAGACGGUUUGACUUGAGGACGCGAGAGGGACACGGAAUUCCGGGUGGAGUGGUGAAAUUCGUAGAUAUUGGGAAGAACACCGGUGGCGAAGGCGGCGCUCUGGACCGAGACUGACGCUGAGGCGCGAAAGCGUGGGGAGCAAACAGG
RNAcentral lists this ribosomal RNA (253 nucleotides) under uncultured bacterium. RNAcentral's name for it is "partial 16S ribosomal RNA". It matches the Rfam family "Bacterial small subunit ribosomal RNA", at positions 524 to 776 of the family's 1533-position model. The record is from RNAcentral.